Molecule: ribosomal RNA, 596 nt
Filed under: Ottowia sp.
Lineage: Bacteria; Pseudomonadati; Pseudomonadota; Betaproteobacteria; Burkholderiales; Comamonadaceae
Description: bacterial SSU rRNA
Rfam family: Bacterial small subunit ribosomal RNA
Source: RNAcentral
GAACUGUAGAGUUUGAUCCUGGCUCAGAUUGAACGCUGGCGGAAUGCUUUACACAUGCAAGUCGAGCGGCAGCGCGGGGCAACCUGGCGGCGAGCGGCGAACGGGUGAGUAAUACAUCGGAACGUGCCCAGACGUGGGGGAUAACUACUCGAAAGAGUAGCUAAUACCGCAUACGAUCUAAGGAUGAAAGCGGGGGAUCGCAAGACCUCGCGCGUUUGGAGCGGCCGAUGGCAGAUUAGGUAGUUGGUGGGGUAAAGGCUUACCAAGCCUGCGAUCUGUAGCUGGUCUGAGAGGACGACCAGCCACACUGGGACUGAGACACGGCCCAGACUCCUACGGGAGGCAGCAGUGGGGAAUUUUGGACAAUGGGCGAAAGCCUGAUCCAGCCAUUCCGCGUGCAGGAUGAAGGCCCUCGGGUUGUAAACUGCUUUUGUACAGAACGAAAAAGCUCUGGUUAAUACCUGGAGUCCAUGACGGUACUGUAAGAAUAAGCACCGGCUAACUACGUGCCAGCAGCCGCGGUAAUACGUAGGGUGCAAGCGUUAAUCGGAAUUACUGGGCGUAAAGCGUGCGCAGGCGGUUUUGUAAGACAGAGG